UUCUGCAGCCCAGGCCAAGAGAACAUGUCAUCCACUCGCUGGCACUCAGCCCACUCUGUGACAAGCCCUGGAUCCACAUCUGCCUACUACCCUGUGUCCCGCAGAUCCCACCCUGAGCUUCUCCAGCCAGGACAGUCAGAGGCCACCAACCUCUCCCUAUCCAAGUGACCUCAGACAAGCCUGUAACCUGUGUGAGCUGCACCCCCUCACCUGUGAAUUGAGAUAAGAGCCCCUGCCCUUCCCACCAUAGAUUUAUGAUGAUGUCCAAAGGAGACCUUUCUGCCACAGCACUCUGAAAACAGGAGAGGGACUCACACAAGGCAUGACUUUAUUCUGCUGGCUGGAGCAGGGACAUGCCGUGGGCAUCACUUUAACUGUGGGCUUUGACUUAGUGAGGCUCAUAGUUUGCCUACAACUAAUCAAAAUCCUACAUCUUCUCCUGUCUCAUUUUAUUCACCUAAAAGUCUUCCUUCCCAAUCUAUUUUCCUUUACCCUUUAAAAUGGGACCAAAAUAAAAAUCUCUAUGCUUAAGAU
Molecule: long non-coding RNA, 534 nt
Organism: Sapajus apella (tufted capuchin)
Lineage: Eukaryota; Metazoa; Chordata; Mammalia; Primates; Cebidae
Exons: 2
Source: RefSeq, a predicted model, not a curated record